UAAGGAAUAUUGCUCAAUGGGAGAAAUCCUGAAGCAGCAACGCCGCGUGGAGGAUGAAGGGUCUAUGACUUGUAAACUCCUGUAAAGAAGGAAAAAAUUCCCAUUUGAUGGGAGAUGAUGGUACUUCUGGAGUAAGCCCCGGCUAACUACGUGCCAGCAGCCGCGGUAAUACGUAGGGGGCAAGCGUUGUCCGGAUUUACUGGGUGUAAAGGGUGCUCAGGCGGAUUUGUAAGUCAGAGGUGAAAUCUUACAGCUUAACUGUGAAACUGCCGUUGAUACGGCAAGCCUAGAGUAUGGAAGAGAGUGAUGGAAUAUCUGGUGUAGCAGUGAAAUGCUUAGAUAUCAGAUAGAACACCCAUGGCGAAGGCAGUCACUUGGUCCAGUACUGACGCUAAAGCACGAAAGCGUGGGUAGCAAACA
RNAcentral lists this ribosomal RNA (420 nucleotides) under uncultured bacterium. RNAcentral describes it as "bacterial SSU rRNA". It matches the Rfam family "Bacterial small subunit ribosomal RNA", at positions 355 to 774 of the family's 1533-position model. The record is from RNAcentral.